GAAGGCCCUCGGGUUGUAAAGCACUUUCAGCGAGGAAGAACGCCUGUCGGUUAAUACCCGGUAGGAAAGACAUCACUCGCAGAAGAAGCACCGGCUAACUCCGUGCCAGCAGCCGCGGUAAUACGGAGGGUGCAAGCGUUAAUCGGAAUUACUGGGCGUAAAGCGCGCGUAGGUGGCUUGAUAAGCCGGUUGUGAAAGCCCCGGGCUCAACCUGGGAACGGCAUCCGGAACUGUCAGGCUAGAGUGCAGGAGAGGAAGGUAGAAUUCCCGGUGUAGCGGUGAAAUGCGUAGAGAUCGGGAGGAAUACCAGUGGCGAAGGCGGCCUUCUGGACUGACACUGACACUGAGGUGCGAAAGCGUGGGUAGCAAACAGGAUUAGAUACCCUGGUAGUCCACGCCGUAAACGAUGUCGACCAGCCGUUGGGUGCCUAGAGCACUUUGUGGCGAAGUUAACGCGAUAAGUCGACCGCCUGGGGAGUACGGCCGCAAGGUUAAAACUCAAA
This 503-nucleotide ribosomal RNA is filed under the name Vreelandella boliviensis. Its description in RNAcentral is "bacterial SSU rRNA". It matches the Rfam family "Bacterial small subunit ribosomal RNA", at positions 410 to 905 of the family's 1533-position model. The record is from RNAcentral. Lineage: Bacteria; Pseudomonadati; Pseudomonadota; Gammaproteobacteria; Oceanospirillales; Halomonadaceae.